UACGUAGGGGGCUAGCGUUGCUCGGAAUUACUGGGCGUAAAGGGCGCGUAGGCGGAUAUUUAAGUCAGGGGUGAAAUCCUGGAGCUCAACUCCAGAACUGCCUUUGAUACUGGAAGUCUUGAGUAUGGGAGAGGUGAGUGGAACUGCGAGUGUAGAGGUGAAAUUCGUAGAUAUUCGCAAGAACACCAGUGGCGAAGGCGGCUCAUUGGCCCAUUACUGACGCUGAGGCACGAAAGCGUGGGGAGCAAACAGG
This 253-nucleotide ribosomal RNA is filed under the name uncultured bacterium. Its description in RNAcentral is "partial 16S ribosomal RNA". It matches the Rfam family "Bacterial small subunit ribosomal RNA", at positions 524 to 776 of the family's 1533-position model. The record is from RNAcentral.